Long non-coding RNA from Solanum verrucosum, 246 nucleotides. RefSeq lists it as uncharacterized. NCBI's taxonomy places the organism in Eukaryota, Viridiplantae, Streptophyta, Magnoliopsida, Solanales, Solanaceae. The transcript has 4 exons. The record is from RefSeq and is a predicted model, not a curated record.
ACUUAUGAUAACCCCUUGCAUUCUAAUCCAGCAUACUCAGUUGUGAAGCAUCACUUUGUUGACAUGGAUGAUACAGUUCCUCAGAAGAUUGUUGUUCAUAAGGACAGUCAUCGAGGAGUACAUUUUCGGCGUGCUGGUCCACAUCAGAAGGUUUAUUUCAGUUCAGAUGAUGUAAAAUCAUCUUCCAUUCAAUAGAAAAUGUGGUGGUUUGUGCCCUGGGCUAAAAGGAGCAGCUUUAAUUAUGAG